RNAcentral lists this ribosomal RNA (497 nucleotides) under uncultured bacterium. Its description in RNAcentral is "partial 16S ribosomal RNA". It matches the Rfam family "Bacterial small subunit ribosomal RNA", at positions 28 to 507 of the family's 1533-position model. The record is from RNAcentral.
GAUGAACGCUGGCGGCGUGCCUAAUACAUGCAAGUCGAGCGAACGGACGAGAAGCUUGCUUCUCUGAUGUUAGCGGCGGACGGGUGAGUAACACGUGGAUAACCUACCUAUAAGACUGGGAUAACUUCGGGAAACCGUAGCUAAUACCGGAUAAUAUUUUGAACCGCAUGGUUCAAAAGUGAAAGACGGUCUUGCUGUCACUUAUAGAUGGAUCCGCGCUGCAUUAGCUAGUUGGUAAGGUAACGGCUUACCACGGCAACGAUGCAUAGCCGACCUGAGAGGGUGAUCGGCCACACUGGAACGGAGACACGGUCCAGACUCCUACGGGAGGCAGCAGUAGGGAAUCUUCCGCAAUGGGCGAAAGCCUGACGGAGCAACGCCGCGUGAGUGAUGAAGGUCUUCGGAUCGUAAAACUCUGUUAUUAGGGAAGAACAUAUGUGUAAGUAACUGUGCACAUCUUGACGGUACCUAACCAGAAAGCCACGGCUAACUACGUG